AAGCUCCGCAGUUUUAAUUGUUUGCUUGUGUUAAAUUUGUUAAUUGUUUAAAUUUAUUUUUAAAAGAAAAUUCGGUUUUAUAAAAUUUAAGCUUUAUCCAACAAUUAUACAAUUUCGAAGUGCUUUUAGUUAUAAAUCAUCAAUUUCAAGUCUCAGCACCCUUGGGAUUAAAAAAAGACAUCUUUUAAGAAAUGACGUUAAAAAAUAUAUUUACAAAAAGUAGAUUCAGUUUCAGUGUAAAGCAAGUGACCUUAAAUCUUUUCAAUAAAGUUCUCUCAUUGUUUUAACUGCAAACCACUUUUUGGUCAUGACACCUACAACCCUCCCUGGAUCCGCCAUUGUAAUUUUUUA
Eupeodes corollae is the source of this 351-nucleotide long non-coding RNA. RefSeq lists it as uncharacterized. The transcript has 3 exons. The record is from RefSeq and is a predicted model, not a curated record. Lineage: Eukaryota; Metazoa; Arthropoda; Insecta; Diptera; Syrphidae.